This is a long non-coding RNA of Hibiscus syriacus, 139 nucleotides long. RefSeq lists it as uncharacterized. The record is from RefSeq and is a predicted model, not a curated record. The transcript is spliced from 3 exons. Lineage: Eukaryota; Viridiplantae; Streptophyta; Magnoliopsida; Malvales; Malvaceae.
CACAUCUAGGAGAAAGACUCUUCCUAGAGUAUCCUUUCACAAUCUCCUGGGCCAAAAGAGUAUUAUCAACAAUAUUCCUCCCCUUGACAAAAGCUGACUGGUUAUGGGAUAUCAUAUCAGGGAAUAUAGAAGAAAAACG